AGAUUGAACGCUGGCGGCAUGCUUUACACAUGCAAGUCGAACGGCAGCACGACGUGUAGCAAUACACGUUGGUGGCGAGUGGCGAACGGGUGAGUAAUACAUCGGAACGUGUCCAGUAGUGGGGGAUAACCAAUCGAAAGAUUGGCUAAUACCGCAUACGAUCU
This 164-nucleotide ribosomal RNA is filed under the name uncultured soil bacterium. RNAcentral's name for it is "partial 16S ribosomal RNA". It matches the Rfam family "Bacterial small subunit ribosomal RNA", at positions 26 to 181 of the family's 1533-position model. The record is from RNAcentral.